RNAcentral lists this small RNA (126 nucleotides) under Marmota monax (woodchuck). The record is from RNAcentral. Lineage: Eukaryota; Metazoa; Chordata; Mammalia; Rodentia; Sciuridae.
GCCGGGUGUGGUGGCACACACUUGUAAUCCCAGCAGCUUAGGAGGCUGAGACAGGAGGAUCUCGAGUUCAAAGUCAGCCUCAGGAAUGGUGACAGUGUAAAGCAACUCAGUGAGAACCUGUCUCUA